This 329-nucleotide long non-coding RNA is filed under the name Zalophus californianus (California sea lion). Its description in RNAcentral is "lncRNA (ENSZCAG00015021549.1)". Lineage: Eukaryota; Metazoa; Chordata; Mammalia; Carnivora; Otariidae. The record is from RNAcentral.
UGGGCUGGGGCGGGGUGGAGCAGAGCCGGAAGCGGGAGGGGAGAGUGAAACAGGAAAAGAAGGGAAGAAGGCAGAAGAGGGAAGAGGAGGAGAGGGAGGAGGAGGAGGGAGGUGGCGGCGCCGUGGCGGAGGAGCAGGAGCAGGAGGGGGAUGGAGAGGAGAAGGCUCCUGGGUGGCAUGGCGCUCCUGCUCCUCCAGGCGCUGCCCAGCCCCCUGUCAGCCAGGGCUGAACCCCCGCAGCAUGCCUUAACCUCAACGUGAGGGGAUGAACAUCUAUACUGAACUUGAGAGCAGGAGGAGCUAAUCAAAUGCCCACAGGAGCCAGGCAG